UUUCAGACUCCUACGGGAGGCAGCAGUGGGGAAUAUUGCACAAUGGGGGAAACCCUGAUGCAGCGACGCCGCGUGAGCGAUGAAGUAUUUCGGUAUGUAAAGCUCUAUCAGCAGGGAAGAAGAUGACGGUACCUGACUAAGAAGCCCCGGCUAACUACGUGUCAGCAGCCGCGGUAAUACGUAGGGGGCAAGCGUUAUCCGGAUUUACUGGGUGUAAAGGGAGCGUAGGCGGCGCGUUAAGUCUGAUGUGAAAACCCGAGGCUCAACCACGGGAGUGCAUUGGAAACUGGCGGGCUGGAGUGCCGGAGAGGUAAGCGGAAUUCCUAGUGUAGCGGUGAAAUGCGUAGAUAUUAGGAGGAACACCAGUGGCGAAGGCGGCUUACUGGACGGCAACUGACGCUGAGGCUCGAAAGCGUGGAGAGCAAACAGGAUUAGAUACCCCAGUAC
This 447-nucleotide ribosomal RNA is filed under the name uncultured bacterium. RNAcentral describes it as "bacterial SSU rRNA". It matches the Rfam family "Bacterial small subunit ribosomal RNA", at positions 329 to 793 of the family's 1533-position model. The record is from RNAcentral.